RNAcentral lists this ribosomal RNA (404 nucleotides) under uncultured Clostridium sp. RNAcentral describes it as "bacterial SSU rRNA". It matches the Rfam family "Bacterial small subunit ribosomal RNA", at positions 356 to 774 of the family's 1533-position model. Lineage: Bacteria; Bacillati; Bacillota; Clostridia; Eubacteriales; Clostridiaceae. The record is from RNAcentral.
GGGGAAUAUUGCACAAUGGGCGAAAGCCUGAUGCAGCAACGCCGCGUGAAGGAAGAAGGGUUUCGGCUCGUAAACUUCUAUCAACAGGGACGAAAAAAAUGACGGUACCUGAAUAAGAAGCCCCGGCUAACUACGUGCCAGCAGCCGCGGUAAUACGUAGGGGGCAAGCGUUAUCCGGAAUUACUGGGUGUAAAGGGAGAGUAGGCGGCAUGGUAAGUUAGAUGUGAAAGCCCGAGGCUUAACCUCGGGAUUGCAUUUAAAACUAUCAAGCUAGAGUACAGGAGAGGUAAGUGGAAUUCCUAGUGUAGCGGUGAAAUGCGUAGAUAUUAGGAAGAACACCAGUGGCGAAGGCGACUUACUGGACUGAAACUGACGCUGAGGCUCGAAAGCGUGGGGAGCGAACA